Molecule: ribosomal RNA, 219 nt
Filed under: uncultured bacterium
Lineage: Bacteria
Description: partial 16S ribosomal RNA
Rfam family: Bacterial small subunit ribosomal RNA
Source: RNAcentral
GACGAACGCUGGCGGCGUGCUUAACACAUGCAAGUCGAGCGGUAAGGCCCUUUCGGGGGUACACGAGCGGCGAACGGGUGAGUAACACGUGGGUGACCUGCCUUUAGCUCUGGGAUAAGCCUGGGAAACUGGGUCUAAUACCGGAUAUGACUCCGCGGUGCAUGCUGUGGGGUGGAAAGCCUUGUGCGGCUGGAGAUGGGCCCGCGGCCUAUCAGUCUU